Molecule: ribosomal RNA, 483 nt
Filed under: uncultured bacterium
Lineage: Bacteria
Description: partial 16S ribosomal RNA
Rfam family: Bacterial small subunit ribosomal RNA
Source: RNAcentral
GACGAACGCUGGCGGCGUGCUUAACACAUGCAAGUCGAACGAUGAAGCUGGGGCUUGCUCCAGUGGAUUAGUGGCGAACGGGUGAGUAACACGUGAGCAAUCUGCCCUUGACUCUGGGAUAACUGCGGGAAACUGUAGCUAAUACCGGAUACGACACCUUGGGGCAUCCCGGGGUGUGGAAAGAAUUUCGGUCAAGGAUGAGCUCGCGGCCUAUCAGCUUGUUGGUGAGGUAAAGGCUCACCAAGGCGACGACGGGUAGCCGGCCUGAGAGGGUGACCGGCCACACUGGAACGGAGACACGGGCCAGACUCCGACGGGAGGCAGCAGUGGGGAAUAUUGCACAAUGGGCGCAAGCCUGAUGCAGCAACGCCGCGUGAGGGAUGACGGCCUUCGGGUUGUAAACCUCUUUUAGUAGGGAAGAAGCGAAAGUGACGGUACCUGCAGAAAAAGCACCGGCUAACUACGUGCCAGCCGCCGCCGUAA